UACGGAGGGUGCAAGCGUUAAUCGGAAUUACUGGGCGUAAAGCGUGCGCAGGCGGUUUGUUAAGUCCGCUGUGAAAUCCCCGAGCUCAACUUGGGAAUUGCAGUGGAUACUGGCAAGCUGGAGUAUGGUAGAGGAAGGUGGAAUUCCCGGUGUAGCAGUGAAAUGCGUAGAGAUCGGGAGGAACACCAGUGGCGAAGGCGGCCUUCUGGACCAAUACUGACGCUGAUGCACGAAAGCGUGGGGAUCAAACAGG
RNAcentral lists this ribosomal RNA (253 nucleotides) under uncultured bacterium. RNAcentral's name for it is "partial 16S ribosomal RNA". It matches the Rfam family "Bacterial small subunit ribosomal RNA", at positions 524 to 776 of the family's 1533-position model. The record is from RNAcentral.